UACAUGGAUGGAAACCUUCAAGC
RNAcentral lists this microRNA (23 nucleotides) under Homo sapiens (human). RNAcentral describes it as "hsa-miR-4802-3p". The record is from miRBase by way of RNAcentral. Lineage: Eukaryota; Metazoa; Chordata; Mammalia; Primates; Hominidae.